Molecule: long non-coding RNA, 1476 nt
Filed under: Chloebia gouldiae (Gouldian finch)
Lineage: Eukaryota; Metazoa; Chordata; Aves; Passeriformes; Passeridae
Description: Erythrura gouldiae (Gouldian finch) lncRNA (ENSEGOG00005009553.1)
Source: RNAcentral
GGAAUGGCCCGGCAGCCGCAGUCGGAGCAUCCCUGGCUGCGGCGGCGCUGCUCCCGCUGCCCAUCCCGGCGCUCCCGGCGAUAUUCCCGGAGGGAGCGGGGCGAUAACCGGAGCCCCGGAGCGGGCUGAGGCCCUGCCGAAGGAGGAUGAGGAGGAUGCCGCUCGGCGCACCGGGGGAGCCGCAGCCCCGGGAGGCGCCGGGCGCUGCCGGCGGAGCUGGAGGUUUCGGCAUUCCUGCAGGGACAGCGCCCAUCGGCCCAGGAGCUGCUGGAACCUCCUUGUGCCAGCGGUGGGGACACCAGGACAGGAGUGGCACUUGUCCCCUCUGCCAGGGAAAGGCUCCCGAGCCAGGAUUUGGCCCUGGAUGGUUCCUCCACGCCGGGAUCCCAAGCCCUGAGCCUCGCCUGGCGUUUGGAUGCUCCCUUCUGUCUGCAGCUGGCAAUGGCACGGCCGUGCCUCCUGCUCCUCCCAAAUCCCGUGGAUUUACUGCUUUUGGCACCAUCCUGCUGGCACAGGGAAUCUCCCGAGGGACAGGUGGGGACAAGCAGCACUUACUACAGCCUGAGGCUACAAUUCCCUCUUUUUCUGGGCUACUCUGAGCAUCCUGGCUCUGCAGGAGGAAGGAUUCAAUGCACUCCCAGAGGACAAAUCCCGCUGCUCUGAUGGCCCGUGCUGAAGGCUCGGGGCGAGGGACAGAGGGACAGCCAGCAGCAGCUCCCGAGGACAGGACAGACGCUGCAGCUGGAGCUCGGGGCCAGCAGGGACCAGCAGGGACCAGCAGGGACCAGCAGCUCCCCUGGGCAGCGAUGGAACAUCUGGGCUGGGAGAGGCUCUUCCCUGAGCUCCAAAAGCAAAGCCAGCUCCACAUCUGCUCCUCCCCAGCCUGGCUGGGCUGCACAUCCCUGCAGGAGCUGAGCUCCUCCCACCUGCAACUGACGGGACUCAUGAGCAAUUUUCUGCUGGGCUUUGGGAAUUAUCCUUUUGGAUCCUGCCGAUGGAUGGAUGGAUGGAUGGUGAAGAGCUCUUGGGUCGAGCAGGAGCUCAGUGCUGUUCUCUGGCAAGGACCAAGCGCUUGCCUGGUUCCCAGUGGAUUUUUUUUGUCUUUAUUUCCUUCUGCUCUUUUUUUUUUUUUUUCUGCUGCUUUUUGGGGCUUUGGGUGUUUCCUGAGGAUGCUGGAGCUGCAGUGGAUCCUGUGGUGGGAGCUGGAGCCUUUGGAAGACCAGGAGCUGAGCUGGUGCUGGGCUUUCAGACUGGCAGAGGCUCAUCCUGUGCUGGGUGGCCUCAGGAGGGUCCUUCUGCCACAGCUGGAGCAUCCCAGUGGAUCCCAGUCCAGGUGGGACCAUGGAGCAGGAGCAGGAACGGGGGGAAGCCAAACCCCCCCAGCGAGGGGAAUGUCACAGUGAGGGGAGUGUCACCCUCAGAGACAAUUAAAUUGCAUUUAAUAAACCCCAUUUGCUCUGUGAGUGCUGGAUGUUG